Molecule: long non-coding RNA, 324 nt
Filed under: Gossypium raimondii (Peruvian cotton)
Lineage: Eukaryota; Viridiplantae; Streptophyta; Magnoliopsida; Malvales; Malvaceae
Description: long non-coding RNA (GRAI_LNC008805)
Source: RNAcentral
AGUGGCCGAACAAGAUGAUCUGCCAGCAUGAUAGAGAAAAGGAAAAAGCAUUCAUGCAAUACCAAUACAAAAACCAUUGUGUUUUUAAUUUCUCCUUUAAUUUCUUUUUUGACAGGUAGGGCGUUUAAAUUGAUUGGUGUUAUUAGAAAUGAAAAUGUAUAACCAUGUUUAGUUGGUAGAGAAAAACACUCAAAUGAGUGCUUACCUUUCAGGAUCCCAUGAGUUACUGGAACAGGUCCACUUGGAAGGAAGAAGAACAUCGGAAGGCAAUCUACGCCACUUAAAACAAUCUUCACACUGAGCCCACUGGAUCUUUUCCCUGAC